Molecule: long non-coding RNA, 1315 nt
Filed under: Anser cygnoides (Swan goose)
Lineage: Eukaryota; Metazoa; Chordata; Aves; Anseriformes; Anatidae
Description: lncRNA (ENSACDG00005000742.1)
Source: RNAcentral
AUGCUGCAUAAGGUAAUUAGGCACUUAACAGAUCACAAGGUUUUGAUGCUGAUGACUGGGCAUAUAACUGUGUCCCUGUGCUGUGCUCCUCCAUUGCUGUUGCUCUGGCACUGCAUCCACCUUGAAAGCUCCCAGCAUCUCCCAGGCUCUCCCAGCAUCUCCCAGGCUCUCCCAGCAUGCCAGCUUUUCUUUGCCAGCUUUCGUGGAGCAGCGUCAGAAGCAUGCUGCCUAGCACGGGACAUCAGCUGGUUAAACACAGCUGGGAGAAGGUGCAAACUGCAAGGUAGGGUGCCGGCAGUCAUCAUGCUGCCUAGCACGGGACAUCAGCUGGUUAAACACAGCUGGGAGAAGGUGCAAACUGCAAGGUAGGGUGCCGGCAGUCAUCAUGUUGCUGAUCAAUAGCUGCUGAUUUCUCAGGGAUACAGAGCUCAAAACUCAAUUGAUGGAAUAUGACAUUAAUGGGGGAGGAGGGAGUCAAAAUGAGAGGACACUUAAAAACAAAAAAAACAUCUACAAGUGAUUCCUCUAUGCAGAAUGCUCUAAGUUAUUUUUUCUACUAAGAGUAACUCAUCUUCCUUCCUCCCUCAGUAGCAAUGAACUAACAUCGUUCAAUUCUUCAGGCAAACCCGUGAGGCUUGUCUUUGUUGGUUCAUAUUUUAAAAGUGCCAGCUGCAGGAUUUGCCUUGGCCCUUGCAAGCUCGUUUUUCUGUGUCCACUGAGUCACACUUCUUUGUGCAAACUCCCUGCAGAAUACCACCCUUUGCCAUGGAGGUGUGUUGGUAACAGCCCUUUUGUAGCUUGGUGGAAAUGGAGUGAAUCCCUGAAUAAGCCUGAACAUUCAUACUAAGGAUUUGAUAACUAAGGAUUUGAUCCUUCAUCUUUAAAUGGGAAGGAAAUGCUCAGGUUCAGCACCCUGCAGCUGAGAGUAAAUCCUCCUAGGAAAUUGAAAAGGAGAAAAGAAGUUAUUGCAAAAGCAGCUUGUAGUAGUCAGGCAUUGAUAUAUUGAAAUAUACUGAUUUCAGAUAUUUUAGAGAAAUACAAAGAUGUGCCUACUGGCUGCUUUGACAUGGUGCAUAUUUGCGAGAAGUGGGUUUUGAAAGCUGGGGAUCAGGAUAGCUACAGUGCCAAAGAAGUGCUGGAUCUAAAAAAUGUUCAUGUGCUACAGUUUGUGUUUUCCUGCAGUCCUGAACAGAAAGAUCUUUCUUUGUUUCUUUUUUUUUUAACAGUUCCUUAGCCUACGCACUCAUAAAGCUAUUUAAAAAUCCUCUUCUUUUACUGCUUAUUCUGUGACAAAUAAAAAAAAAAUCAAUUUUCA